RNAcentral lists this unclassified non-coding RNA (329 nucleotides) under soil metagenome. RNAcentral's name for it is "partial contains 5.8S ribosomal RNA, internal transcribed spacer 2, and large subunit ribosomal RNA". The stretch from base 1 to 120 matches the Rfam family "5.8S ribosomal RNA", at positions 35 to 154 of the family's 154-position model. The record is from RNAcentral.
GAUGAAGAACGUAGCGAAGUGCGAUAAGUAAUGUGAAUUGCAGAAUUCAGUGAAUCAUCGAAUCUUUGAACGCACAUUGCGCCCCUUGGUAUUCCGAGGGGCAUGCCUGUUCGAGCGUCAUUAUAACCCCUCAAGCUCAGCUUGGUGUUGGGGCCUGCUGCACUGGCAGCCCUUAAAAUCAGUGGCGGCGCCAUCUGGCUCUAAGCGUAGUAAUUCUUCUCGCUAUGGAGUCCUGGUGGAUGCUUGCCAUCAACCCCCAAUUUUUCUAUGGUUGACCUCGGAUCAGGUAGGGAUACCCGCUGAACUUAAGCAUAUCAAUAAGCGGAGGA